This 253-nucleotide ribosomal RNA is filed under the name uncultured bacterium. RNAcentral's name for it is "partial 16S ribosomal RNA". It matches the Rfam family "Bacterial small subunit ribosomal RNA", at positions 524 to 776 of the family's 1533-position model. The record is from RNAcentral.
UACAGAGGGGGCAAGCGCUAUUCGGAAUUAUUGGGCGUAAAGGGCGCGUAGGCGGCUUUGCAAGUGACGGGUGAAAGCCCUCGGCUUAACCGAGGAACUGCCUGUCAGACUGUAAGGCUUGAGACCGGGAGAGGUGAGUGGAAUUCCCAGUGUAGCGGUGAAAUGCGUAGAUAUUGGGAGGAACACCAGUGGCGAAGGCGGCUCACUGGACCGGAACUGACGCUGAGGCGCGAAAGCGUGGGGAGCAAACAGG